RNAcentral lists this ribosomal RNA (544 nucleotides) under Capronia sp. UBCTRA1522.6. Its description in RNAcentral is "eukaryotic LSU rRNA". It matches the Rfam family "Eukaryotic large subunit ribosomal RNA", at positions 1 to 548 of the family's 3401-position model. The record is from RNAcentral. Lineage: Eukaryota; Fungi; Ascomycota; Eurotiomycetes; Chaetothyriales; Herpotrichiellaceae.
UUGACCUCGGAUCAGGUAGGAAUACCCGCUGAACUUAAGCAUAUCAAUAAGCGGAGGAAAAGAAACCAACAGGGAUUACCCUAGUAACGGCGAGUGAAGCGGUAACAGCUCAAAUUUGAAAUCUGACCUUCACGGGUCCGAGUUGUAAUUUGUAGAGGAUGUUUCGGACAAGGCUUUGGUUUAAGUUUCUUGGAACAGAACGUCAUAGAGGGUGAGAGUCCCGUCUAGAACCGAUAGCCGCGUUCAUGUGAAACUCCUUCGACGAGUCGAGUUGUUUGGGAAUGCAGCUCAAAAUGGGUGGUAAAUUUCAUCUAAAGCUAAAUAUUGGCCAGAGACCGAUAGCGCACAAGUAGAGUGAUCGAAAGAUGAAAAGCACUUUGAAAAGAGAGUUAAACAGUAUGUGAAAUUGUUGAAAGGGAAGCGCUUGCAACCAGACUUGUGUUUAACGGUUCCCCCGUGUCUUUUGACCGGGCUAUUCCGUUAUAUCCAGGCCAGCAUCGGUUCGGGUGGUUGGUUAAAGGCCUUGGGAAUGUAUCUACCUUCG